UUUGCUGACCCAAAGAAAGUAACUAUAUUCUCAUUGCAAAUGCUCCUAUUAGAAUAAGUCCUAAAAGGACAAAGUCUAUGGUACGCUUAAAGCAUAUAGACAAAUCGGUUUCAAAUAAACUUCUUAAUAAAAAAAAGAGCAAAUGAUCAAAAUGAUCAUAAUAAGGAGACAAGUGAUCUAGAAGAUCAAAUGACAUAACACUUCAUAAAAUCUCAGAUGAAAUUCAGGUACCUGAAAAUAUGAAUGAAGAGAUCUUUAUGUCAUAUCUUUAUGAAAAAAUGUUGGAACCGAUAUAAAAUGUUUGUAGAGGAGAUAUAUCAUAGCUCUAAGUAUAGAUGAGGAUAUUAAGUCUGUCGAAUACAGAUAUAAAAAUAUUGUCCAAAUGAAAGAGACACAAUUUGAAUAGAAUUUGUUUCAUAUGAAAUACAUGUAGUUUUGGACCUGCAGUUCAAACACUUGAAAGUAUAAAGUCAAUGAUAUGUGCAAUCAGUUUUCGAUAUCUUAUUUGUCUAGCAUGACAUGAAAAUUGAUAUGCAUCUAAUUAAAGUCUAUUAUAUGACUUAUAUAACAAUCCAUAAAGGAUUUAAGUUGAUUGAAGCAUAUACAAUUCUUGAUCUUGAAGUACCACAUCCUCUGUGCAAUUCAUGCACAAAUGUAUCUUGCUAUAACUAUAAGCAUGAUAAUAUGAUAGCGAGAAUUAUUUUUACAUCUAUGAAGAUAUUGAAAAAGUUAUUCCACGACAUUAUAUGAAGAGAUUACAUAUAUACAAGAAUGGUGAUUUCAAGGUGCAACAUAUUCAUUCAAAAUAAUAUUUGUUUAUCAAAUCUCUACCAAUGAUCUUUUGAAGAUGGUGCACAAGAUUGAAAUGCAAAGGCUCAAGGAUGUGAAUUGAUGCUCUCAUCAGGGUGAGUUAAUACGCGUUGUACUCAUUUUUCCUUACAAGGUUUUAUCCCAAUGGGUUUUCCUUGCAAGAUUUUUAACGAGGCAACCAAAAGGCGUAUUGUUAAAUAUGUGUACUCUUUUUCCUUUACUAGAAUUUUUUCCCACUGAGUUUUAUUUUAGUUAAGGUUUUAACGAGACACAUUAUCUGUUGGAUAGACAUUCAAGGGGGUGUGUUAUAAUAGAAUUCUAUUUAAGAUGAAUGUCUAUAUUUUAGAGAGAUUUUAGGGUUUGUUACUUGUUGGCUAAGUCACUUUUUCCCUAUAAAUAAAGGGGUUCUAUUCCAUUGUAAAUGACUCCAAAUCAAUAAGAAUUCUCUCUUUCUACUUUUCUCUGCAAUAUUUUCCUUCUUCUUUUAUUGUUUCAUAACAAAAGGAUUGAAUUCCUAAUUGUUAGGAGUUUAUAAAUAGUUCAAAUAAACUAAGGUUUGAUAGUAAAAAAGUUUAGUUAAUUUUAAAAUUCUAAAUAUUAGGAAAAUAACCUAAUGACUGUUUUGUCUAGUGUGAAAUCUAUUUUAAAAGGAUAAAAAAUUAAACGACAUUUCGCUAAGGGCCUUCGUGCUUUUAAUAUAGUAUAGAUAUACACAUUAUGUAUUAAAGCAGUGACGGAUCCAGAAUUUUAAAGUCGUGGGUGCUCACUGAUAAAAAUUUUGAAAGAAAAAGAAAAAAGAGUUUAAUUAUGAGUGCUCACUCAAUAUUUAUCUAAAUAUUUUUAUAAUUACCUAUACAAAUUAUUAAAUCUUGUCAAAGAUAAUGGAGGCUUAAACACCCAAAAAUAACAUGUAGCUCUGCCACUAUAUUAAAGUACAUAAAUAAAAGUAUAAAGAUAAAGUGUCGUUGACGUAGGCAAUUCAGGAAAUCUUUCACCUGAGAUUUUCCAUUUGGUAACUAGAAAAGUAGGAUAGGAUAACAUAGAAAAGUGGGGCCACAAGGGUGAAUUGGCAGGACGGCCCAAAACGUGGGUCAGAGUUAGAAACGGGGUAAUGGGCCCAGUGCGCCGUGUGCGUAGACUGAGUUCAACGUUUUCUUGACUUUGUACGUUGCCGUCCCGUGAUUAGGUCAAAUUUGAUUAACCCUUAAUUUCGAUGGAAAUUCUUGAAGAUAUAGAAAUAUUCAAAUAUAAUUUAUAGUAGAGGGAGAGCUGCCAGUCACUGUUUAAUUGGGCUAAUACUAAUCAACUAACUGAUAGUAGUGGAGUAUGAUUUUGAAAAGACUAGUCAAUUCUACAAACGUCAUCUUAAUUUUCAGCAUCCAACUACCACAUAUUACUUGUUCAUUUAUUAUGCUUCUUUUAUAACUUGAGUCACAAAUUACAAUUAAUUUUGUGUCAAGUAAACGUCAUGAUAAUCUAAAAUGAUCUCUUUAAUUUGUUUCUUAGUUCAGCAAGUUGAUUGGUUGAAUAGUAGUUGUACCUUUUAUCAUUUGCCUCAAACUAAUGAGAAUAACAACACUCAUAUGCCACAUGCUGGUGAGCGCUUCAACAAUGAGAAUUUUGGUAAGUACUGAUGAUGUCAAAAACUUCAUAAAAAAUGAGAAAGUGAUUCCGCCCUCAUAUGCCAAAUUUGAUUAAGUUUGGAAUUGUUUUUGUAGCAUUUUUAAUAAGAAUUAAGAAAUCUAUUCAUAUGUACAGAACUUUAUUUGCACCUUUAAAAGACAUUCAACAGGCUAUUGAAUGUCUUUUAUUUUCCUCCAGGUUACAUGCUAGUUCGAAAUUUUCUCUUGAUUGGCAGGUAGGGAGCUAAAUAAUCAUUGUGGUUGAGUAAAUAAGAGUUAAAGAAAAUAAAAGAAAUGGAGAGAAUAGAACAAAUGUUUUAUUCUUUAUAAGAAUUUUUUUGCAAUGUUAAAUUAUAAAUUUUGUGGUUAAAACAGGCCCAAAGAGGUGGAACGCUGCAUAUUUAAAUAUCUUGUCUAUCUCAUCUUUUAAACUAAAAAUAGUCGGCGGAUGUCUAGGUUGAGUUUUUUGGGUAUGAAUGGAAAAUGGAAGAGACACCUCUUCAUUUUGUCACACCUCCUUUUUCCCGAGGGGAUAGGGAGUUUUUCCAAUUAAAGUGACAUUAAUCGAAAUGAGAUUAUUUAUUUAAUUUCAGAGUUGCCACUUGGGAUAAUCUAUGAUGUUCCGAGUCACCGAUUUAAAAUUCCGAAUCGAGGAAAACUCUGUUUUAUAAUCCGUGAAACACAGAAAUCCGGGUAAGGAAUUCUGUUAACCCAAGAGAAGGUGUUAGGCAUUCCCAGGUUUCGUGGUUUUAGCACGGUCACUCAACUAUUAUUAAUUGACCUAAUUAUCUGAUUAAUUACACAUUUUAAACCUACGUGCAUUUUUAACUUUCUAACCGCUUAUAAUGUUUAUAGAAUUAUUUUCUGGAACAAGUCACGAUUGUCGUACACUUGUUGUUUUGGUACACAUUGCAAACCGCAUCACAUGAAAUGCACCCGCAACUUACAACAUAUCUAUUUUAUUAUUAUUGUUAGAAGUUAUGCUCGGAUCAUAUGAAAUGCACACCCGAGUGGGAUUUACGUAUCAUGAUCAUGCCACGAGAAUCGUACCCAUGGCCACAAUGAAUUGUUAAUCGCGCUUAUAGCAAACUACGAAUGUUUAUAAUUUAUUUAACUUUUAAACCCAAACCAACUAAUAUCUUGUUCAAGUCAUUGGAGUCUUUAAUCCAACAAACUAAUUCAAAAAACCAUUUUUAAGCGACAUUACGAAACAAGCAGCUUCAAACAAAUGAGCAGUCAUGUUUCAUUAAAGAAUUCAACAAAUGAACUAAUUUUUGAAAGCAAGCAUAGACUAAUGAACCAUGUAUAUCACUCAAAUAUUCAUUCAAAGGUUCUGGGGAAGAUUCAACAAAAUUCCAACAUAUACUAGUUUGACUAACGAAUCACAGUCAUCAAAAUACCACAAAGAUCAAGUAAAGAAAGAUUUGAAAUAUAACUUAAAUUAAAAGAUCAGUUAAGAAGGGACCUUAGAAUAGCAGAAUCAGAAUUCCUUUUCGCCUUGAUACUUUGAAAGAUAUACAAGGGCCUUUGGCCAAAAUCGAACAAAUCACAGUAUGAACAGAGAUGGAAAACAGCAACAACAACAGAAAAUUACUUUGCGAACCUCGAACCUCAGAUAGAAAACUCGACGGGUCGGCUCAAGGAAAAUUGGAAUAAACCAAUUAAGGCAGAAGAAAUCAUAACCGGAGCCCAGCAGUCUUAGAAACAGCAAAAUUGGCGGAAUCAAACGAACGAUUUGACUCUGAAUUCUCCUUAAAACCAAAAAACUAAUAGAGGACCUAUUGUUUCAGAUCUUCGAGUUCCUCUUUUUUCGUUUGUUGCUAUAUGCUUAUAUGAGAGUGAGGAGUAAAUGAUAGGGUUAUUAUGUGCAUGUGUGUGUGUCGUCAGAUGAGGGCGGGGAAGCAGAGGGGAUGGCGGCUACUGGUAGGAGAUGGGUCACUGGAAGGGUUGGAGGUGUGUUGUCCGGCGUGAGGGGUGACUUUGGUUGGAGAUGGUUGUUUGUUUUUUAGUGGGUGUUAGGUUCUACAAUUUGUCUUAGGUUGUGAAGGAUGAAGAAGAUAUGAAAUGACUGGGGACCUUUUUAGAGUAGGGGUCACUCCUCUUGAAGGGUUAAGGUGUAAGGGUUUUUUAGUUUAGGGGAGUAUGAGCUUAGGAAU
RNAcentral lists this long non-coding RNA (4588 nucleotides) under Nicotiana tabacum (common tobacco). RNAcentral describes it as "long non-coding RNA (NTAB_LNC011114)". The record is from RNAcentral. Lineage: Eukaryota; Viridiplantae; Streptophyta; Magnoliopsida; Solanales; Solanaceae.